RNAcentral lists this ribosomal RNA (530 nucleotides) under uncultured bacterium. Its description in RNAcentral is "bacterial SSU rRNA". It matches the Rfam family "Bacterial small subunit ribosomal RNA", at positions 1 to 519 of the family's 1533-position model. The record is from RNAcentral.
CGCAGAAUUCGGCUUAGAGUUUGAUCCUGGCUCAGGAUGAACGCUAGCGGCAGGCUUAACACAUGCAAGUCGAGGGGCAGCACGGGUAGCAAUAUCUGGUGGCGACCGGCGCAAGGGUGCGUAACGCGUGAGCAACAUGCCCGUAUCAGGGGAAUAAUCCAGGGAAACUUGGUCUAAUACCCCAUAGUAAAUAUUAAAGGCAUCUUUAAUAUUUUAAAGCUUUGGUGGAUACGGAUUGGCUCGCGUGACAUUAGCUAGAUGGUAAGGUAACGGCUUACCAUGGCUACGAUGUCUAGGGGUUCUGAGAGGAAGAUCCCCCACACUGGAACUGAGACACGGUCCAGACUCCUACGGGAGGCAGCAGUGAGGAAUAUUGGACAAUGGAUGGAAAUCUGAUCCAGCCAUGCCGCGUGCAGGAAGCCGGCCCUAUGGGUUGUAAGCUGCUUUUAUAUGGGAGCAAUAAGGCCUACGUGUAGGUUGAUGAGAGUACCAUAUGAAUAAGCACCGGCUAUCUCCGUGCACCCGCCGGU